AAAAGCAACUACUUUUCAAGGUGA
RNAcentral lists this non-coding RNA (24 nucleotides) under Gossypium hirsutum (cotton). Lineage: Eukaryota; Viridiplantae; Streptophyta; Magnoliopsida; Malvales; Malvaceae. The record is from RNAcentral.